CCUUGGCCUCCCAAAGUGCUGGGAUCACAAGUGUAAGCCACCAUGCCCGGCCUACACCACUAAAUUUAAGAUGUUUAAAUACCUGCUGUUUUUCUCACUACAAAAUAAUAUAUAUGUAUACCAAAAAAAGGUUUUUAAUUAAAAAUAAUAAACUUAUUUAAUGAUCUAUGUAAAUUUGAAACCACCCAAAGAUAGCCAUUAAUAACCUUGCUUUGGCUCUUUCCCUAAGCGGCCUGAGGUAAUCUGAAAAUGGUUCGCUAUUCACUUAACCCGGAGAACCCCACGAAAUCAUGCAAAUCAAGAGGUUCCAAUCUUCGUGUUCACUGUAAGAACACUCGUGAAACUGCCCAGGCCAUCAAGGGUAUGCAUAUUCGAAAAUCCACGAAGUAUCUGAAAGAUGUCACUUUACAGAAACAGUGCGUACCAUUCCGACGUUACAAUGGUGGAGUUGGCAGGUGUGCCCAGGCAAGACAAGGUCGGUAGCCCAAAAAGAGUGCUGAAUUUUUGCCGCAUAUGCUUAAAAACGCAGAGAGUAAUGCUGAACUUAAGGGUUUAGAUGUAGAUUCUCUGGUCAUCGAGCAUAUCCAAGUGAACAAAGCACCUAAGAUGCGCCGACGGACCUACAGAGCUCGUGGUCGGAUUAACCCAUACAUGAGCUCUCCCUGCCACAUUGAGAUGAUCCUUACUGAAAAGGAACAGAUUGUUCCUAAACCAGAAGAGGAGGUUGCCCAGAAGAAAAAGAUAUCCCAGAAGAAACUGAAGAAACAAAAACUUAUGGCACGGGAGUAAAUUCAGCAUUAAAAUAAAUGUAAUUAAAAGGAAAAAAAAA
Non-coding RNA from Macaca mulatta (Rhesus monkey), 829 nucleotides. The record is from RefSeq and is a predicted model, not a curated record. Lineage: Eukaryota; Metazoa; Chordata; Mammalia; Primates; Cercopithecidae.